AGAGUUGAUCCUGGCUCAGGAUGAACGCUGGCGGCGUGCUUAACACAUGCAAGUCGAACGAACUUUCGGGUUAGUGGCGGACGGGUGAGUAACGCGUGAGAAUCUGCCCUCAGGAGGGGGAUAACGGUUGGAAACGACCGCUAAUACCCCAUAUGCCGAGAGGUGAAAUGAAUUUCGCCUGAGGAUGAGCUCGCGUCUGAUUAGUUAGUUGGUGGGGUAAUGGCCUACCAAGACAUCGAUCAGUAGCUGGUCUGAGAGGAUGAUCAGCCACACUGGGACUGAGGCACGGCCCAGACUCCUACGGGAGGCAGCAGUGGGGAAUUUUCCGCAAUGGGCGAAAGCCUGACGGAGCAACGCCGCGUGAGGGAUGAAGGCCUCUGGGCUGUAAACCUCUUUUAUCAAGGAAGAAGAUCUGACGGUACUUGAUGAAUAAGCCACGGCUAAUUCCGUGCCAGCAGCCGCGGUAAUACGGGAGUGGCAAGCGUUAUCCGGAAUUAUUGGGCGUAAAGCGUCCGCAGGCGGUCUGUCAAGUCUGCUGUUAAAGCGUGGAGCUUAACUCCAUUUCGGCAGUGGAAACUGACAGACUAGAGUGUGGUAGGGGCAGAGGGAAUUCCCGGUGUAGCGGUGAAAUGCGUAGAUAUCGGGAAGAACACCAGUGGCGAAGGCGCUCUGCUGGGCCAUAACUGACGCUCAUGGACGAAAGCCAGGGGAGCGAAAGGGAUUAGAUACCCCUGUAGUCCUGGCCGUAAACGAUGAACACUAGGUGUCGGGGGAAUCGACCCCCUCGGUGUCGUAGCCAACGCGUUAAGUGUUCCGCCUGGGGAGUACGCACGCAAGUGUGAAACUCAAAGGAAUUGACGG
RNAcentral lists this ribosomal RNA (861 nucleotides) under uncultured marine bacterium. Its description in RNAcentral is "bacterial SSU rRNA". It matches the Rfam family "Bacterial small subunit ribosomal RNA", at positions 8 to 916 of the family's 1533-position model. The record is from RNAcentral.